Molecule: long non-coding RNA, 287 nt
Organism: Homo sapiens (human)
Lineage: Eukaryota; Metazoa; Chordata; Mammalia; Primates; Hominidae
Exons: 2
Source: RefSeq, a predicted model, not a curated record
AUAAUUCUGAGGCAUGACUGUGAAGGUACACUACUGUCCUUCCCAGUGUACAGCCAUUCUGACAAAAAAAAUGAGUAGGAAGAAGAUUUGUAAAAUACACUAUUUAUUGUGGCUAUGUCAAAGGAAACAUUCUCUAGGCUGUUGAACCUCACUUUCAACCAAGAAGAUCUGCCUCUGUGAACAGACUUAAUUCUGUCUGCUAGUUGGGAGGACAUAAAAUAUUAUUGUAGGUAUUCAUGCCAUAAUUUAAGAGAUUUUGUGGUUAAAUAAAUCAAUUAACAUUUUAA